This 1392-nucleotide ribosomal RNA is filed under the name human gut metagenome. RNAcentral describes it as "bacterial LSU rRNA". It matches the Rfam family "Bacterial large subunit ribosomal RNA", at positions 980 to 2451 of the family's 2925-position model. The record is from RNAcentral.
GGAGUCAGACUGCACGAGAUAAGUUGGGUAGUCAAAAGGGAAAGAGCCCAGACCUGCAGCUAAGGUCCCAAAAUGUGUGUUAAGUGGAAAAGGAUGUGGGAUUUCAAAGACAACCAGGAUGUUGGCUUAGAAGCAGCCAUACAUUAAAAGAGUGCGUAAUAGCUCACUGGUCGAGUGACUUUGCGCGGAAAAUUUAACGGGGCUAAAAUACACACCGAAGCUUGGGCUUGACGCAUUGCGUCAGGGGUAGGGGAGCGUCGUGUAAGGGGCGAAGUCGUAUCGUAAGGGACGGUGGACUUUACACGAGUGAGAAUGCCGGAAUGAGUAGCGAGAAUUAUGUGAGAAUCAUAAUGGUCGAAAGCCUAAGGUUUUUGGAGGAAGGUUCGUCCGCUCCAAGUAAGCCGGGAGCUAAGGUCAGGCGGAAACGCGUAGCCGAUGCACAUACGGUUGAAAUUCCGUAGCCUCAGAAAGAUUUAAGCAGAGGGACACUUUGAAAGGACUGUAGCCGGGUGUUGGUUACCCCGGUCGUAAGGGAACGAAAUUAAGUAGUGAAGGCAGUCUGGACGGAGGCGAGAAAAGCUCUGUGUAUAUCUGAUGAGCCCGUACCGCAAACCGACACAGGUAGGUGGGAUGAGAAUUCUAAGACCAACGGGAGAAGGGUAGUUAAGGAACUCGGCAAAUUGUCCCCGUAACUUCGGAAUAAGGGGAGCCUGCGAAAGCAGGCCGCAGAGAAUUGGCCCAGGCGACUGUUUAUCAAAAACACAGCUCUAUGCUAAAUCGAAAGAUGACGUAUAUGGGGUGACACCUGCCCGGUGCUGGAAGGUUAAGAGGAGAUGUGAGAGCAUCGAAUUGAAGCCCCAGUAAACGGCGGCCGUAACUAUAACGGUCCUAAGGUAGCGAAAUUCCUUGUCAGGUAAGUUCUGACCCGCACGAAUGGCGUAACGAUUUGGGCACUGUCUCAACAGCCUACCCGGCGAAAUUGUAGUACCGGUGAAGAUGCCGGUUACCCGCGACUAGACGGAAAGACCCCAUGGAGCUUUACUGUAGCUUAAUAUUGGAUUUCGGCAUUUCAUGUACAGGAUAGGUGGGAGACUAGGAAACAUAGGCGUCAGCUUAUGCGGAGUCGUCCUUGGGAUACCACUCUUGGAGUGCUGAAAUUCUAACCUGCAGCCCUGAAUCGGGUUGGGGGACAUUGUUAGGUGGGCAGUUUGACUGGGGCGGUCGCCUCCAAAAAGGUAACGGAGGCGCUCAAAGGUUGGCUCAGCAUGGAUGGAAACCAUGCCAUAGAGUGCAAACGCAAAAGCCAGCCUGACUGCGAGACUGACGGGUCGAGCAGAAACGAAAGUUGGAGUUAGUGAUCCGGCGGUAUGUGAAUGGAAAUGCCGUCGCUCA